AAGCCCCUUAGUCAUUUUGGCUUUUGACUCCAUUGUUGGAGAUGCCCUAAGAAGGGGGCAGUGGCCGACUAAAGGAGGGAGGAGGAGACGGGAAAAGGGAGAGGAGAAGAGAAGAAGAAGACAAAAAAGAAGAAGAAGAAGAAUCAGAGCCAGAGAGAGAGAGAUAGAGAGAGAGGAUGAGAAGAGAGUUUGGGUCUUUAUCAAAGGCUACGAAUUGGGUAGUUUGGUUUUGAGGGGAGAGAAGCUAGAGGGUUUAGAUUGAUUUUCAUAAGCAAACAUGAGCAUUUGAGAGUUUGGGUUUUCUGGUUUUGAUCAGAUUUGUAGAAAGGCAAAAGGGGAGAAAGUUUCGGAAGUGGAGGGCUUUGUUUUGGGUUGUUUACUGUCUAUGUUUGCCUUGCUUUACGGUCAUAUUAGAUUUCUAUUGAGAAGAGUUAGGGCUGAGUAUAGUCGAGAGCAAGAUUUCUUUAUCGUUUUCUUUUGUAAAACAAAACCAUAUUGAUUUGGAUUGUAAGUACUAUUUGGAGUACUUUUUGUGGUUUGGUCGGAAAUCUUGUUAUAGUAAAUUUCUUAUUUGCUUUGGUUUAAAUUUUGGGCCGGGUCUUUACACAAAGUAUGAUCUAAGAGCCUUUGUAACUUUAA
Molecule: long non-coding RNA, 639 nt
Organism: Rosa chinensis
Lineage: Eukaryota; Viridiplantae; Streptophyta; Magnoliopsida; Rosales; Rosaceae
Exons: 2
Source: RefSeq, a predicted model, not a curated record